RNAcentral lists this ribosomal RNA (492 nucleotides) under uncultured bacterium. RNAcentral describes it as "partial 16S ribosomal RNA". It matches the Rfam family "Bacterial small subunit ribosomal RNA", at positions 29 to 507 of the family's 1533-position model. The record is from RNAcentral.
AGUGAACGCUGGCGGUAGGCCUAACACAUGCAAGUCGAACGGCAGCACAGUAAGAGCUUGCUCUUACGGGUGGCGAGUGGCGGACGGGUGAGGAAUACAUCGGAAUCUACUUUUUCGUGGGGGAUAACGUAGGGAAACUUACGCUAAUACCGCAUACGACCUACGGGUGAAAGCAGGGGAUCUUCGGACCUUGCGCGAUUGAAUGAGCCGAUGUCGGAUUAGCUAGUUGGCGGGGUAAAGGCCCACCAAGGCGACGAUCCGUAGCUGGUCUGAGAGGAUGAUCAGCGAAACUGGAACUGAGACACGGUCCAGACUCCUACGGGAGGCAGCAGUGGGGAAUAUUGGACAAUGGGCGCAAGCCUGAUCCAGCCAUACCGCGUGGGUGAAGAAGGCCUUCGGGUUGUAAAGCCCUUUUGUUGGGAAAGAAAAGCAGCAGGUUAAUACCCCGCUGUUCUGACGGUACCCAAAGAAUAAGCACCGGCUAACUUCGUG